This is a non-coding RNA of Cricetulus griseus (Chinese hamster), 5555 nucleotides long. NCBI's taxonomy places the organism in Eukaryota, Metazoa, Chordata, Mammalia, Rodentia, Cricetidae. The record is from RefSeq and is a predicted model, not a curated record.
GCCCACAGACACCCACCAUUCGGGUCAGCAGUGGCACUCAGAGGAAAAGGUAUGCAUGCAGCUAUUGUCAUAGUGUGGUACAGUGACAGGUUUUAGUUGACUGCAAAAAUGUAUGUGCUUUUAUUGUGUAAGAUGGAGAAAGGGAAAGAAAAAAAGUGAAAACUACUAAUGGGCCUUGCUAAUGCUGGUCUUUCUGCGACCCCAUCCACACAUACUGAUUAACCAUAACCUGAUUUUCAAGUGUCUGUUAAUGUUUUUGCUGCUGUUUGUGUACAUAGAUAUGUCUUUCCCUAGCCUCCAACCUAAAAAUGGGUACAUAAAGGUGGAUAUUAAAAGCAAAGCUCUGUGAACAUGGGCUAUAAUUUUAAAUGUCAUGUUUCUGGAAAUGAUGCCAUUUUUUUCUGUCAUGGGGCAAAGAUAUGAGUUUGUUCUCUAAGAGAAAUACUUGUCCAUAAGACUAAAACUGAUGACUAAUUGAAAGGUCAUUGCUAUAUUUGAUAAAAUGGAAUAGAAUAUGUAUAAUCCUUUUCUUAAAAGCAAGUUUUUGUGACUUUUUUAUUAGUCAUGUUAGUAUUGCUGAGAAAUCACUUUAAAGGAUUUUAGUGACUUAACUUCGUAACAUUUUAUCAAAUUCUGGUUGUUGAGUUACUUGCCCUGCUUUCAGUUAAUUUAGUUAAAGUUUUUUGUUUGAGGAGCUUUUGUUUAAGACUCAAAAAUAAUACAUAUAUUUUCUAUUUGUAGUUCAAACUGUCUAACUGUAAUAAAUUUCUAUUCCAGUAUUUAGAGUAGUUUUCAAAAAGAGUUGAAUCCUGAUAUGGAAACUAAAAAAUUACAAAAAAAAACUUUUGACUUUCAUAUUUAAAAGAUAAUUAAAUGCCAAUAUGAAUAAUGUUGUCACUGGUGAGGUGUUGAAAGGUAAUUAAAGUAAAACUUUUUUGUUUCCUAUAUGUAUUUUUCUUGGAUCUCCUGCAAGACAAUUUUCACCUUCCCUUUGUGAUCAGAGCCGUCCCAGGACUUCAGGGGCUUCCUACCUACAGAAUUUAUUAAGAGUUCCCCCUGAUCCCACCUCCACAGAAUCAUUUCUUCUGAAGGGUUCCCCUUCCAUGAGUGAACUCAUCCAAGGGCAUCGGCUCAGCAAGGAAAAAAGGUUAACCGUGGCUCCACCAGAUUGUCAGCAGCCUGCUGCCUCCGUACCGCCACAGUGCUCACAACUAGCUGGGAGGCAAGACUACCCAGCUGUCAGUCCGAACAUUGCCCUCCCUGAGGAGCAGCCACAUUCCAGCUCACAGUGUGCUCCUCUGCAUUGUCUCACCAAGCCUCCUUACCCCUAGUCUUCAUCUCUCAUGAAUGGGUAUCUGGGCUGAAGAUUUUGUAGCCACACUGAGGACACUGCCUGAGAUCUAGCAGGUGUUGUCUUCUUGGAGAUUAAAAUUACAUAUGUAUUACAGUCCAUCAUUUUUGAAGAGGAGAGAGUUCAGAAGAAUAAAAUGAUGUGUUGAACCUGGUGUGAUCAAUUUAUGGCUUCUCUGAAUUGAAGAUGACCUGCAAUCAAAUGGCAAUAGUUCUUUUGAAAUUUAAAUGAAACAUGUAUCUCAGAUAUCUGGCUUUACCUCCACAGCAUAAAAGAGAUCCAAGACAAUGUAAAAUAGAUACGUUAUAAAAUCAUCUUUCCCUAUACUUCAAAGUCAGCCAUAGAAGUUGAUUCCAAUAUUUUUCAAUGAUAUUUAUUUUAUAUUUUAUUUGCUAUAUGGUUUGUGUUUAUAAAGAUAAUUUCUGUAAGCAGAAUUCAUUUAUUUUUAAGUAGUCAUAGUGUGCUCAGUUUAAUUUAGUUUAAAAUUUGGAACUGGCAAGAUUAUGGUCCUUCUACUUGUAGAAAAUUACAAAUGAGGUGCAUCAGAAUGUUAACAACAACUGUUUUUGCUGCUUCAUGGAUAUUCUUUAUGUGGUUAUUUUCUAAUUAGUAACUCAAUUGCUAGUUUUUUAAACUAGAGUUCUUCACUGGACAUUUAUUAAGUAAAUCUAAGAAAGAGGCAAAGAUAUGAUUCAUUGACUUAAUCAAGUUUUGAUUGUAUCUUUAAUUAUUUAAAUUGCAAUUGAGUAGAUACAUUGGUGCUGCUACUGUGUGAUUGUGUGUAUGUGUGUAUGUGUGGUCGUAUUAAAGAAGGGCAAAUUACUUGAAGGAGAGAAAUGGUGUGUUUAUUUAAUGACCACAAAUUUUUUUAAACUUUUUCCAAAUUUAGGUUCUUACUAUGUGUUUCCCACUAAAAGGGAUAACAAUAAAUGCAAAAAUAUAUACAUAUAUAGCUGUAAGGUAGCUGUGGCUUGUUAAUUUAUGCAGAAAGUGUAUGUUUUUGUUGUUUCCUUCACAAUGAAUCUUUCUUGCCAAAAAAAUAAAUAAUAAACCUUAGCUCAUUGUCUACUUUUGACAAACACUCAGGUGCCUACAGUCAUAUUAUAUUGAGAUUAAGACAUGUUCUCAUUUAAUUUACAGAUUCUGCUAGGUAACUUUUAUGACUUUAUUUAAGGCAAUAGAAUUUCAUAGAAAAUUUUAGUUUUUGCAUUAUUGAGAAAACAAGGACAGCAGCUAUUUGAGCUGUAAGGUCUAACUUGGAUUCCUCAGUUUUCAAGUGCUGCCCACAUAAUUGCGCCUAACCCUGACUCGUUGUCCUUGUCAGGUAGCCUUAACUUACAUAAAACCAUAAAGGUUUUACUUUUUCAUGUAACAGUGUCUUUAACUUCUCUUCCAAACAAAACUGGCCCUCACUGUUAGCAAAAAAGAUGACUAGCCCUAUAGGAAGACAACAGAUAUGUUGGAGCUGCCCAGCUUGUGGCUCGAAAGUGGUGGCACAUUUAUCAAGCACUCCAUCAAAGGUCAGCAGUCAGUCACAAAGCACAUUGCAGGAACUUUGUUUUUAUGUUAUGUUCCUGUUGAGUAGCAGUCAUGGUUACCAAAGCAACCCAAAAAUUUUGUGUUUCUUAUCUGAAUGAUGUUUUCGUGUCAUUUCUUAUGCAACCUGGAGUAAAAGUUGAAAUACUUGCCAAAAUUUAGGGAUGCAGGUAAAGUACAGUGACACACAAAACAGCCCCUGAUGGGAGUCCUAGUCAAUCAGAAUCCCCACAUAGUUGCACCUGCCUGAAUUGCUUUCUUGUUCUUGUAUUUCUCCUCAUUUAUUGGUGUUAAAUCUGCCUGGUGCCAAUAUUAGUGAGACAGUAUAGAUAUUCAUUAGAGUUCAGUUAAAGACAACUUCCUCUGUUUUUUUUUUUUUUCUUUUUACCUUUUCCUAAGCAUGAGUUGAAACCGAAGAUAUGUCAUAGUUACUAAGUUGACUUUGACCUAAGGGAUAACAUGCCUUUUAAAUAAAUACCCCAGAAUGAGUUGUGUCUUUGGAUCGGGAACUCAACAAUGGAUCUCUUUUCUGUGUAACCACUGUUGACAUAGCUGCAUUGAAUUCGUGUAUAAAGUUGAUUACUUCCACUAUGAAAUUUAUCAAUAAGUCUGAUAUAAACCAGUUUUAUUUUAGUUGCUUAUUUUAAUAAAGUAGAAAAUGUUUGUUUUGAAAUAUUAAUUCUAUAAAAUAUUAAUGUUAAAAGAACUUUGCCCAGAAGAUAUAUAGACCUUGAAAUGAAUUUCUUAUUUUUAGCACAAAAGUAGGUGGUACUCUCUAAGCAGCAAGAGAUUUAUUUAUCUCAUACCACAUCAUUUAGCUGAGCCAUAUCGAUAUUUAUUUACAGACUUUUUCAAUAAAUAAAUGCAGAGUGCUGGUAAAAAUGAAUACUUGUAAAGAUAAUAUUGGGAUGUAAAAAGAAACUGAAAAAGUGAAAAACUAAUGAAAAAAACCAUGAAUCUCAGUAAGAAUAAUUGAAGGUGUAUUGUAUUUGAUAUUAAAAUAUAAACGAUAGAAACACUACAAAUGCUAAUUGUUGUAAACAUUUUGAACAAAGAUGAGAGGUUAUGCCCAAAAUUAGUUAGCCAAAAUAACCAACUAUUAUAAAAUUUUUCAUUGCAUCUUACUGUGUGUGUGUGUGUGUGUGUGUGUGUGUGUGUGUGUGUGUGUGCGCGCGCGCGCGUGCGCAUGUACACACAUGCAUGGCCAUAGCAUGUGUGGGAAAGUUGGAGGAAAACCUGCAGGGAUUGCUUCUCUCCCACAACUAUUUGGGUCCCAAGGAUUGAAUUCAGAUUAUCAGGCCAAGUGGAAGGCAUACUCAUCUGCUGAGCCGUCUUACUUUAAUCCACAUUUUUUUUAAAUGUAAGCACAAUUACAAAACUAAAUAGAAGAAUUAGUGUAGAAAUGGUUUCCCACUUGGGAUUUUUCAUUAACACAUAAUAUUAAAAUAAAAAAGGCAAUGAAUUGUGUUUGACCUAAGUGUUUAGAAGCAUAAAAAAAGUUUGGAUACAUAAACCUUUUGCAUAUCUAAUUCUGGAUGAAAAAGAAAGAGGAGGAGGUAAAAGGAAUUUUGAAAACUUCUAGAAAAUAUAAAUUUAUUAAGGAAUGAAGAAAAGACUUAUUUUGAAGUUAUACUUUAUAUAUGCUUAAAGUAGAGGAGGUACAAUAAUGAGGUCCAACAAAAAGAACUUAACAAAUGACAGAGAUCAGUUACAGAUCCCAUAAGACUAAAUGUAAAGGGUUAGCAUUACCUGUAGGAAAGAGAUUUUUAAUAGUGGAAAAUUAAUCAUUGGAUUAUAAGGAUUUGUGUUUAAAAAUGGUAGUCUUAAGUAUAGCCAAUUUGCAAUAAUGUUUUUCUAGGAGCCCACAACUCUAUGAUUUUCUGUUUUAAAGUCUAAAAUAUAUUUAAUUUUUACUGAUUGGUCAUGAAAUAUUUUUACUUUUGAACUAGGAUAACAGCCUUAAUUUUCUAAGGUAUUUAUUAUUUUGUAAAAGGAGUUCUUCAAAGUUGUCUGGAUUAUAACAACUUCACUUUAGAGAACUUCAGUGUCAGAGUCUAAAAAGCAAAUAUCCUUAAGAAAGCUUCAUAAGUAGAAGGUAUGCAAUCUCUGAUAGAUAAAUACUUCUUAAAUUUUAUUUACUCACAAAGAUUUUCUGUCUUUAACAUUUGCUUUAUCUAUGCUGUAGAACAUGUUCUUGUACAGAUAAGUCCUUCUCUAUUAAAUAAGCAUGAACAAUUGGUCUAUUAAACUAGCUAAGAAUGUGGAUAUUCCCUCAUACACUAUAUUGAAUAAAAUCCUCUCCAGUAACUAAGCACAGAUUACAAAUAAUGGUAUGAAUAAAUCAAAUAUAUUUUCUACUGUGAUAAAUGUCAACUUGUAUUAGUCAAUCAAAAGAUUUAAUCUUUCUUAUGAAGAAAUCAGUGGGCAAUAAUGGGGUGUGUCUCGGCAAAGGGGUGCUUGCUGGACCUGUGUGAGACCAUGGGUAGCAUCCACUGUACUGCAAAACAAACAAACCCUAAAAAAAAUUGAUGGAUUUCCCCCAUAGAAUCCUGUUCAUUCAAUCCAAGGAUGUCACUAAUGAAUUGAUACUGUACAUAUACGUAAAUUUGUAAAGUCCACAAUGUUUAAAACUUUUGUUUUUUUAAUAAAUCAGAUUGAUUUAAAAUAA